GGGGGUGUAGCUCAGUGGCAGAGUGCAUUACUAGCAUGCAUGAGGUCCUGAGUUCAAUCCCCAGUACUUCUG
This 72-nucleotide transfer RNA is filed under the name Camelus bactrianus (Bactrian camel). It matches the Rfam family "tRNA". From Rfam's summary of the family: Transfer RNA (tRNA) molecules are approximately 80 nucleotides in length. Their secondary structure includes four short double-helical elements and three loops (D, anti-codon, and T loops). Further hydrogen bonds mediate the characteristic L-shaped molecular structure. tRNAs have two regions of fundamental functional importance: the anti-codon, which is responsible for specific mRNA codon recognition, and the 3' end, to which the tRNAs corresponding amino acid is attached (by aminoacyl-tRNA synthetases). tRNAs cope with the degeneracy of the genetic code in two manners: having more than one tRNA (with a specific anti-codon) for a particular amino acid; and 'wobble' base-pairing, i.e. permitting non-standard base-pairing at the 3rd anti-codon position. The record is from Rfam by way of RNAcentral. RNAcentral also lists the same sequence under 2 other names. Lineage: Eukaryota; Metazoa; Chordata; Mammalia; Artiodactyla; Camelidae.